AGGAACAUGUGGUUUAAUUAGGUGAUGCGAGAAGCACCUUACCCGGGCUUAAAUUGCAGAUGAAUUACGGAGAAAGCUGUAACCCGCAAGGCAUCUGUGAAGGUGCUGCAUGGUUGUAGUCAGCUCGUGCCGUGAGGUGUCGGCUUAAGUGCCAUAACGAGCGCAACCCUUGUUGUCAGUUACUAACAGGUUCCGUUGAGGACUCUGACAAGACUGCCAUCGUAAGAUGUGAGGAAGGUGGGGAUGACGUCAAAUCAGCACGGCCCUUACGUCCGGGGCUACACACGUGUUACAAUGGGGGGUACAGAGGGCCGCUACCACGCGAGUGGAUGCCAAUCCCCAAAACCUCUCUCAGUUCGGACUGGAGUCUGCAACCCGACUCCACGAAGCUGGAUUCGCUAGUAAUCGCGCAUCAGCCACGGCGCGGUGAAUACGUUCCCGGGCCUUGUACACACCGCCCGUCAAGCCAUGGGAGCCGGGGGUACAAGAAGUGCGUAACCGCGAGGAGCGCCGUAGGGUA
RNAcentral lists this ribosomal RNA (520 nucleotides) under uncultured organism. RNAcentral's name for it is "SSU rRNA". It matches the Rfam family "Bacterial small subunit ribosomal RNA", at positions 933 to 1464 of the family's 1533-position model. The record is from RNAcentral.